Molecule: small RNA, 657 nt
Filed under: Drosophila ananassae
Lineage: Eukaryota; Metazoa; Arthropoda; Insecta; Diptera; Drosophilidae
Description: GF27470
Source: RNAcentral
ACAGCACACGUCGGUUUUUAAGCUUGUGAGGAAAACACGAGUGGAAGAAAAAGUGCCGAUGGCCUUGAUCCUUCCAACACGUAGACUUGAGACUUGAGAUUUGGCAUGAAUGUCGCCUAUCGAGCAAUGUGAUGCUGCUCUCAGUGCAGCUUGAAUUUUCGGUGACAGUUCACCGAUGUAUACCGAUGAAUGGCCAUUCUGCCAUUCAUGUAUUUGCUGUACCAAUGUAGCUGCCAGCUUCUCGGGUAUCUACAAUUUUCCAUCAAAUUCAUCGCUGUCCUCUCGGCAAAAUCAAGUACCGAUGUUGAAUCGGUAAGAUUGCAGCGAACCAACUGGUCAAUCUUUUUUCCAUUUUCUCAAACAAUGAGCUAUCUCAGAUUCUAAUGAUCUGUUUGGAUGUUAAGCGGCAUGAGCUCUAUCAGAGAGCAAAAAAUGCAUUAGGGGAUUAAGAGUAAUGUUAGGAAUAAGAAGUGCUUUUCUACAAACAUUUGGGUUGAAAGACGAAGACUUUGACCGAGUAGCGAAGCGGUUCUCUCAGUAUGCCCAGGAACGCAUUUCAAAGGUCAAGCGUCAAAAAUUAGAUAAUAAAUAAAUAAAUAAUUCAUAAUACAUUUACUUUAAGUUUAAACUGACGCAUUAAAGCUGGAAUUAAUCAUU